GCUUGUCUCAAAGAUUAAGCCAUGCAUGUCUAAGUAUAAGCAUUAUACAGUGAAACUGCGAAUGGCUCAUUAUAUCAGUUAUAGUUUAUUUGAUAGUCCCUACUAUUUGGAUAACCGUAGUAAUUCUAGAGCUAAUACAUGCGUCAAGCCUCGACUCACGGAGAGGUGUAUUUAUUAGAUACAACCAACAUCGUGGUGAUUCAUAAUAACUUUGCGAAUCGUAUGCCUCACGGCGACGAUGAAUCAUUCAAAUUUCUGCCCUAUCAACUUGGCUACCACAUCCAAGGAAGGCAGCAGG
RNAcentral lists this ribosomal RNA (298 nucleotides) under uncultured fungus. RNAcentral describes it as "partial small subunit ribosomal RNA". It matches the Rfam family "Eukaryotic small subunit ribosomal RNA", at positions 30 to 350 of the family's 1831-position model. Lineage: Eukaryota; Fungi. The record is from RNAcentral.